RNAcentral lists this ribosomal RNA (431 nucleotides) under uncultured bacterium. RNAcentral describes it as "bacterial SSU rRNA". It matches the Rfam family "Bacterial small subunit ribosomal RNA", at positions 958 to 1392 of the family's 1533-position model. The record is from RNAcentral.
AACGCGAAGAACCUUACCAGGUCUUGACAUCCCUUGCAUAGCCUAGAGAUAGGUGAAGCCCUUCGGGGCAAGGUGACAGGUGGUGCAUGGUUGUCGUCAGCUCGUGUCGUGAGAUGUUGGGUUAAGUCCCGCAACGAGCGCAACCCUUGUCAUUAGUUGCCAUCAUUCAGUUGGGCACUCUAGUGAGACUGCCGGGGAUAACUCGGAGGAAGGUGGGGAUGACGUCAAAUCAUCAUGCCCCUUAUGCCCUGGGCUACACACGUGCUACAAUGGCCGGCACAAAGAGCCGCAAUGCCGCGAGGCGGAGCAAAUCUCAAAAACCGGCCCCAGUUCGGAUUGCAGGCUGCAACUCGCCUGCAUGAAGUCGGAGUUGCUAGUAAUCGCAGAUCAGAAUGCUGCGGUGAAUGCGUUCCCGGGUCUUGUACACACCG